Nymphaea colorata (pocket water lily) is the source of this 1539-nucleotide long non-coding RNA. RefSeq lists it as uncharacterized. The transcript has 3 exons. The record is from RefSeq and is a predicted model, not a curated record. NCBI's taxonomy places the organism in Eukaryota, Viridiplantae, Streptophyta, Magnoliopsida, Nymphaeales, Nymphaeaceae.
AGUCCAGAAUUCUCUCUCUGUCUCUCUCUGCGCUGCUUCAAUGGCUUUGCCGAGGAGAUUCACCGGGAAGGUGGGGACCGUGACGGCGUCCAGCCAGGGGAUCGGCUUUGGUCUUGCUCGAGGGGCUUGGAGGGGCCUGCGUCGUGGUUUCUUCCCGGGAACAGAAAAACGUGGAUGAAGCCGUGGCGGCACUGAUGUCUCAAGGAGUUGACGUGAUUGUGAUUGGCGCAGUUUGUGAUGUUUCGAACUAGAAACAGAGGAACAAUCUUAUUCAAGAAACUGUUCAGGUAAUCUUGUUAUAGUGAAUUUUUGAGCAACAUAGCUUACUUCCUCCAAGCAGUACUUACUAUGUUUCCUUUUAUAAGGCAGCUCAACCUUACUUGAGCAAAGGGGCGUCAGUUAUUCUUGUAUCUGCAAUUGGUGCCUAUCCUAAACCAUCAAUGUCCAUGUAUGGAGUUACAAAGACCGCACUUCUUGCAUGCACUUGUUUGGCGCAAAUUUUUGGGAAUUUGAAUUUUAUAUUUAAAAUUAUCUUGGCUAUGAGAGCUUAUAGUGAUAGCCUUGGAUUUCUUUUCCGUUACACAUAGCAGUGCUUCUAUUUGAUAAUCCAAGCACAAGCAUCCAAGUUUCCUUGCCACGAUGGUAUUUACCUAAGGUGUUUAUUCCUGGCAUUAGAGAACUCGAUAAGCUCUAGUGGGUUUCUUCACAGUGGUUAGUUGAGCAUUUCAUGAGUGCAGAAGUUGCAUUGGUGGUGGGGGAACAGCAGUUUCGUAGUAGUUUCUCAUUGACAUGUCUGAUGAACUGAUUAAAUGACAUAUUCAGUCGUAAGUGGAUGAUACCAGCUUGAUUAGUGAAUGCGUGGAAUCUAUGAAACCGAAGCAACACCAUAUACUGUGCACAAACAACUCAACAAUUGAGUUCCGUUUAACCUGUGGCCACUGAAUCACCCUGCUCGGUUCUUCAGCACUGUGGUUGUGGUGAUGGCUGCCCCCUUUUCUAUUGUUUGCCUUUAGUUAGGGCUUGUGUGCGCUCUGCCUAGGUAUGAGAAAUUACAAGGCCUCAUGGCAAACUGCUGUUAACCCUUGUGUCCGACCUCUCAUUAUUUUAGUCAUUUCAUGUUUCAAGCUUUUUUUCUAGCAUGGAACGACACCUUCUUUUGCCACUGCUUCCUAAAAUUGCCUCUUGUUUACUUCGUCACACUUCAUAACUACACUUACUGUGCUGAUAACUUCAUUUGUUUACAUUUAAUAUGGCAGCCAUGAUACUGUACCAUGUUUAAUUUCCACAAUAAGUUAACCUCCUUGUUCCUUAGGCAUAAAGCAUUUUUUUUUCAUUUUUUAAAUUUUUUUUCUAAUAUUAAAAUAGUGUUACUUUCGGGCGCUCUCGUCAGAAUGGGCUCCAUAUACGCGAAUUAAUUGUUUGGCACCUGGGUUUGUGCCUACGCGUCUUUCUAAUUUCAUUACCGUGAAUGAAGCACUUGUAAGUACCAUCUGAUGCCCAGACUUUGAUGAUCGUUUUCUUGUGUCUGUAUGAAUGUUU